GAUAAACCUCUUCGGCUCUGGUCUGACACUCCCGAAGCUCGCUCGCGCCUCGCUCUCUCUCUCGCUCUCGCCUCCGUUGAUUCUCUUCAUCGCAAUGCACUCGCGCGGUACGCAUUCCACUGCUUAGCAUCAUGAAUUCCGUCACCACUCCAUUCCUCUCGCCGCAAACCUGGCAGACGUCGCCGUCCCCGACUGGUUUCCGCUUCAGCUCCGCCUUCCCUAACCGCAGGCGGCUCGCUUCGAAGCCAGUCAGGAAGCGGUGGAGGCCUCGGAAAUGCGCUGCCCGCCUGCAGGCGUUUCGGCUCGUCGAGCCUCUCCGGAGCUCCAAAUGCUGCGGCGAGGAGACGGCACGGGUUCCAGAAGCUUCCGAGACCUUGGGUCGAGUAAUCCAACGCGUAGUGAAGCCGUUGGCUUGCGCGGUGUUCUUCAUAGCGGUAGGUUUCGCCCCGUUUCGCCGAGUUCAGGCCCCUGCCGCCGCGGCCGUGCUGAAUUUGGAGAAAAUGGAGGAGGGGUCUGAAGUGAAAGGGCAUGAGUAUUCGAAUUGCACGAAAAGAUUGUUGGAGAAGGUUGCUGUGGUUCUUAGAUGUAUGGAUGAGAUUAGGAGAGGGGAGGGGGGCGUGAAGGAGUUGGAGGCGGCGAUGAAGGUGGUGAGAUUGGUAAAACGGCAAUUGCAGGAGGAGAUAAUGCGUGGUAUGUAUGAGGAGCUGAGGGAACUGAAGAGAGAGAAAGAGGGGUUGAUUAAGAGAUCAGAGGAGAUUGUUGUUGAGGCGACCAGAGCGAAAAGGGAGAAUGAGAAAACAGCUGCAAAAGGGGGUGAAUUUGAGGAGACUUUGAGCAAAUUGGAGGACGAGUAUGAUAGAGUUUGGGAGAGAGUUGGGGAUGUUGAGGAUAGUAUAAUGAGGAGGGAGAUGGUUGCAAUGAGUAUUGGAGUGAGAGAGAUUUGUUUCAUAGAGAGAGAGUGUGAAGCUCUGGUUGAGAGGUUCAAGAGGGAAAUUUGGCGAAAGAGUACCCCUGAUAGUGUGCCAUUAAACUCCGAAACCAAGCUUUCGAAGUCUGAUAUUGAGAAAGAUCUGAAAAUUGCUCAAAGAAAGUACCUGGAACAAAUGAUUCUGCCAAGGAUUGUGGAGACUGAAGAUUUUGGUCCUCUCUUUCAUCAAGAUUCAGUAGAUUUUUCUCUUCUUAUAAAACAAGGCCUUAAAGAUUCUAGGGAGCUGCAGAGGAGUCUAGAGGCUCGCAUUAGAAAAACCAUGAAGAAAUUUGGUGAUGAGAAGCGUUAUAUUGUAAAUACACCAGUUGAUGAAGUUGUCAAGGGAUUUCCUGAGAUCGAGUUGAAGUGGAUGUUCGGGGAUAAGGAGGUCGUGGUUCCAAAAGCGAUUGGGCUCCAUUUGUAUCAUGGGUGGAAGAAGUGGCGUGAAGAAGCUAAGGCAGAUCUAAAGAAAAAACUACUAGAAGAUGUAGAUUUUGGGAAAGAGUAUAUGACCCAACGGCAGGAACAAAUUCUCUUGGACCGAGAUAGGGUGGUGUCCAGAACCUGGUACAAUGAAGAGAAAAAUAGGUGGGAAAUGGAUCCCAUAGCUGUACCUUAUGCCGUAUCCAAGAAGCUUAUAGGAAGUGCACGGAUCAGACAUGAUUGGGGUGCUAUGUAUGUUGCUCUGAAGGGGGACACAAAGGAAUAUUAUGUCAACAUCAAGGAAUUUGAAAUGCUGUUUGAAGAGUUUGGGGGCUUUGAUGGGUUGUACCUGAAGAUGCUUGCUUCUGGGAUCCCUACUGCCGUUCAACUUAUGUGGAUACCAUUCUCAGAGUUGAAUUUUCACCAGCAGUUCCUUUUGACGACGAGUCUCCUCCAUCAAUGCUUAAUGGGAUUGUGGAGGACUCGAGUCAUAUCAUAUGCCAGAGGCUGGGUUAUUGAAAAAGUCAAAGACAUAAAUGAUGACAUAGUGAUAAUGAUAUUUUUUCCCAUUGUCGAGUACCUAAUCCCCUACCCGGUAAGGAUGCGAUUGGGAAUGGCAUGGCCAGAGGAAAUCGAUCAAACUGUUGGCUCAACAUGGUACUUGAAGUGGCAAUCAGAAGCAGAAAUGAACUUUAAAUCCAGAAAAACGGAUGACCUCCAAUGGUUUUUGUGGUUUCUGAUUAGAAGUGCUGCAUAUGGAUAUAUUUUGUAUAAUGUGUUCCGGUUUUUGAAGAGAAAAGCCCCUAGACUUCUUGGUUAUGGGCCUUUACGUAGAAAUCCAAACGUGCGGAAGUUUCGGCGAGUGAAAUACUAUAUACAGUAUAAAAUAAGAAAAAUCAAACAGAUGAAGAAGGCUGGGAUAGAUCCUAUCAAAACUGCUUUUGAUGGAAUGAAGAGGGUUAAAAAUCCGCCAAUACCGUUAAAGGAAUUUGCUAGUGUCGAAUCAAUGAGAGAGGAGAUCAAUGAAGUUGUUGCCUUCUUACAGAAUCCCCGUGCUUUUCAAGAAAUGGGCGCCCGUGCACCUCGCGGUGUUCUUAUUGUGGGUGAGAGGGGAACUGGAAAGACAUCUCUAGCAUUGGCUAUAGCAGCGGAAGCUAGGGUGCCCGUUGUUAAAGUCGAAGCCCAGCAGUUGGAGGCUGGACUAUGGGUUGGACAAAGUGCGUCAAAUGUUAGGGAGUUAUUUCAGACAGCCAGGGAUUUGGCACCCGUAAUAAUAUUUGUUGAGGAUUUUGACCUUUUCGCUGGUGUCCGUGGCAAGUUCAUUCACACUAAAAAGCAAGACCAUGAGGCUUUCAUCAACCAACUUCUUGUUGAACUUGAUGGAUUUGAAAAACAAGAUGGUGUUGUCUUGAUGGCCACAACUAGAAGCCUCAAACAAAUUGAUGAGGCAUUGCGGCGACCUGGUCGGAUGGAUAGAGUCUUCCAACUGCAGAGGCCAACUCAAGCAGAAAGAGAGAAGAUACUACGAAUUGCUGCUAAAGAAACAAUGGACGAUGAGCUCAUUGACUUUGUCGACUGGAGAAAGGUGGCCGAGAAGACUGCUCUUUUACGACCUGUAGAACUGAAACUCGUUCCUGUGGCAUUGGAGGGAAGUGCAUUUCGGAGCAAAUUUGUUGAUGAAGAUGAACUUAUGAGCUACUGCAGUUGGUUUGCGACCUUCAGCCAUAUGGUUCCUAAAUGGGUUCGGCAAACAAAAGUUGUGAGGCAGAUUAGCCGAAUGCUGGUGAAUCAUCUGGGGCUGACAUUGACUGAGGAGGACAUGCGGAAUGUUGUUGAUCUAAUGGAACCAUACGGUCAAAUUAACAAUGGAGUUGAACUUCUUAAUCCUCCACUUGAUUGGACAGAGGAAACCAAGUUCCCCCAUGCUGUUUGGGCAGCGGGUCGUGGCCUUAUAGCUCUUUUACUACCUAACUUUGAUGUUGUCGACAAUUUGUGGCUUGAACCAUCUUCGUGGCAGGGAAUUGGCUGUACAAAGAUCACCAAGGCACGGAGCGAAGGAUCUGUAAAUGCUAACUCAGAGUCAAGAUCAUACCUUGAAAAGAAGCUUGUAUUUUGCUUUGGUUCAUAUGUUGCUUCACAGCUUCUACUUCCUUUUGGGGAAGAAAAUUUUCUUUCUUCAUCUGAACUGAAGCAAGCUCAAGAGAUAGCGACAAGGAUGGUCAUUCAGUAUGGAUGGGGGCCUGAUGACAGUCCUGCAAUUUACUAUCACAGUAAUGCGGUUACUGCUUUGAGCAUGGGGAACAACCAUGAAUAUGAGAUUGCAGCUAAAGUUGAAAAGAUGUAUGAUUUGGCUUAUUACAAAGCAAAGGAAAUGUUACAGAAAAAUCGUCGAGUUCUUGAAAAGAUUGUCGACGAGUUGCUUGAGUUUGAAAUCUUGACUGGAAAGGACUUGGAAAGGAUGCUCGAAGAAAAUGGUGGAAUGCGGGAGAAAGAGCCAUUCUCCCUUGUUCAACUUUUUAAUGGACAGCCGGUAUCUAGCGGCUUCCUUGAUGAUGGGAAUGCAUCAGGAACUGCACUGUUAGGCACGGCAACCUAGUAUCGAGGAUACGAUAAUCAGCCAUUGAUCUUGAUCUUGACAAGCACUUGAAGAUCGAAGGAAAUUCUACUUAUCUUUGUUUAGACCAUUAAUCUCAUGACAGACUAGCAAAACAAGAAAAGGUGGAACUAUGGCCCGCGUCUUAGACAGCUUCCAAGCAAACUCGAAAUUGAGUAGAAACAUGGUGAUUAAUGCGCAGUAGAUGGUUUCAACUGGAUGUGAAGAUCGAUACCGUGAAGUUAAUCAUUGGAAGCACAAACAGGGUGAUCGAAUGAGGCACCAACUUUUCCUCCGUGUGCGAAAGGUCAUUCUUGUGCUGGUCAUAUGAUGGAUCGCGUGGAGACCGUGUUUUGUGCCCAUAUAAGGACCUUAGGGACCAUGUAAUGGCCAGACAAGAAAGAGGGAGGGCACCUCGUGGAUUCAAUCAUCAUCAUAAUCGAUUUGUAUCUUUUAGCUUUGUUUUGGUAGAGCAACAGUAAUUACUACAUAAGGCCAUCCAAGAAGGGCAUAAAAAGGAAGGGGUGCUAAGGGCUCGUAUGGCGAUGC
Rhodamnia argentea is the source of this 4532-nucleotide RNA transcript. It is a transcript of the gene named probable inactive ATP-dependent zinc metalloprotease FTSHI 5, chloroplastic, with no coding region annotated. The record is from RefSeq and is a predicted model, not a curated record. Lineage: Eukaryota; Viridiplantae; Streptophyta; Magnoliopsida; Myrtales; Myrtaceae. The transcript has 20 exons.